UAGGGAAUAUUGGACAAUGGGGGGAACCCUGAUCCAGCCAUGCCGCGUGGAGGAAGACUGCCCUCUGGGUUGUAAACUCCUUUUAUAUGGGAAGAACCGUCCUCAUUGAUGAGUGACCUGACGGUACCAUAGGAAUAAGCACCGGCUAACUCCGUGCCAGCAGCCGCGGUAAUACGGAGGGUGCAAGCGUUAUCCGGAUUCACUGGGUUUAAAGGGUGCGUAGGAGGAUAUGUAAGUCAGUGGUGAAAUCAACGGGCUCAACCUGUUAACUGCCAUUGAUACUGUGUAUCUUGAAUAUGAGAGAGGUAGGCUGAAUGUUGCAUGUAGCGGUGAAAUGCUUAGAUAUGCUACGGAACACCGAUUGCGAAGGCAGCUUACUAUUUCGUAAUUGACGCUGAGGCACGAAAGCGUGGGUAGCGAACA
RNAcentral lists this ribosomal RNA (423 nucleotides) under uncultured bacterium. RNAcentral describes it as "bacterial SSU rRNA". It matches the Rfam family "Bacterial small subunit ribosomal RNA", at positions 355 to 774 of the family's 1533-position model. The record is from RNAcentral.